AAGAGAAAAGUGUGAAAAUUCAAGGAAACAAGUGAAAAAAAAGGUGGUGAGUCCUCCGAUAAAGGCAAACAAAUUGCAUCCGAUGACCAGUAGUCAGAGUAUUUCAAAAAUUCACACUCUAAACAUUUGGGCUGAGCUCUAUGGACUAGCUUAUUAGAGGGGCACAGAAUCCUGACAUAUUUAACCUCAGUUGGAGAGGCGAGUAUGGUAACUCCUAAGGCUCAGUAUAGGCUAUAGAUAUCUAAUAUCGUCAAAGGCUACAGUUGGCUUUACUUCUUCAAAAACUUAUAAAGAAGGAAGCUUUGGUGUGUAACAUCUGGUGCCGAAGCUUUGACCUUGGCAUGUAACAUCUAGUACUGAAGCUUUGACCUUGGCGUGUAAUAUCUUCUGCUUUGGCUUUAGUGCACGUAACAUAUAGUGCUAAAGUUUUGACCUUGAUGUGUAACAUUUAAUGCUGAAGCUUUGACCUUGGCAUGUAACAUCUGGUACUGAAGCGUUAACCUUGGCCUGUAACAUCUUCUGCUUUGGCUUAAGUGCAUGUAACAUGUAGUGCUGAAGUUUUGGCCUUGAUGUGUAACAUUUGGUGCUGAAGUUUUAACCUUUGCAUGUAAUAUUUGCUACUAAAGUUUUGAUGUGUAACAUCUUCUGCUUUGGCUUUGGCAAGUAACAUCUGGUGAUAAAGCUUUGGCCUUGGCAUGUAACAUCUUAUGCUGAAACUUUGACAUUAGCGUAUAACAUUUGUUGCUGAAAAUUUUAAUGUGCAACAUCUUCUGCUAAAGCGUGU
Non-coding RNA from Theobroma cacao (cacao), 784 nucleotides. The record is from RefSeq and is a predicted model, not a curated record. NCBI's taxonomy places the organism in Eukaryota, Viridiplantae, Streptophyta, Magnoliopsida, Malvales, Malvaceae.